AGUCUUAUAUUCAAUUAUGAUAUAAAAUUGCAAAUUUUAAGGAGUAAAUAAUAAUUACUAAGGCUU
Molecule: transfer RNA, 66 nt
Filed under: Pareuchaetes insulata
Lineage: Eukaryota; Metazoa; Arthropoda; Insecta; Lepidoptera; Erebidae
Description: tRNA-Cys
Source: RNAcentral